Non-coding RNA from Rattus norvegicus (Norway rat), 69 nucleotides. Lineage: Eukaryota; Metazoa; Chordata; Mammalia; Rodentia; Muridae. The record is from Rfam.
GGGGAUUUAGCUCAGUGGUAGAGCACUUGCCUAGGAAGCGCAAGGCCCUGGGUUCAGUCCCCAGCCCCG